GGGACUUCAGCAGUUAUUCAUUGUUCUUCCAGAGUCACAGCCAUAUUGUUGCUAUGAACAAGUGAAAUUAUGCAUGGAAAGAACGGACAUUUUUCCUUCAUAAAGACCAUAGAGUGUAUUCUUUAUCUUGUAGGUAGGGGCUGGGACAAAUCCUCUAGAAGGAGCUGCACUUGGGAUGUCACUACUGGAAUCUUUUGCAGAAGCUGGGAGUUUGUUGACUAUAGCUACAACACAUCAUGGAGAACUUAAAACCCUUAAAUACAGGUGCUCGGUGCUAACAUGGAACUUUAAUUUGUGACAAAAGACUUACCUCCUCUAACAUCUUGGUGUUACAAUGUACUUGACAGCAAUCAUGCCUUUGAAAGUGCAUGUAUGGAGUUUGACGAAAUGAAGUUGAAACCAACUUAUAGGAUUCUUUGGGGAAUACCAGGUUGUCCUUGUAUCCAUGUGGUAGUUUCUUGAUUAUCUUGGAGUUUCUUACCUGAUGACUGAUAAUAGGAUCGCAUGUUACUUCUUGUGGCGAAAAGAAGAGAAUAAAUACUUCUUACUUGGGCUUAAAAAGAAAAAGAUGAUACCUCUUUGGUCUCUGAUCAAAUUUUGCAGUGUCACAAUCUCAAUGUCACAAAAUAUUCUUCAAAUGCAGUUCCUUUCAUUAUACUCUCUACUGUUAUACUUAAGCAAGUUAUUGAAAACCUAUACACUUUCAAUCAUCGAUAGAUAUUCCUCAGAAAAAUGGUUUUCAUCUCAUCAUGGAAAUAAUACCAAGUAAAACCAUGGUAUACUUUGUAUCAAUCAAUUUUGUACUCCUAUGUUAUUGAAUCACCAUGGAAUUUUGGGAUUUGUAGGAUAACAAUUUAAAGAUAGAAGACCUUUAAAUGUAAGAAGGAAAGAGAUUUUGUUUAGUUGAUAAAUGAAGAAAUGGAGGUAGUUU
Molecule: long non-coding RNA, 931 nt
Filed under: Nicotiana benthamiana
Lineage: Eukaryota; Viridiplantae; Streptophyta; Magnoliopsida; Solanales; Solanaceae
Description: long non-coding RNA (NBEN_LNC023818)
Source: RNAcentral